CAGCUUGACACUGCUACUUGGAUAAGAAUGUGCAGGAUAGGUGGGAGGCUUUGAGUAUAUGACGCCAGUUGUAUAUGAGCCAUUGUUGAGAUACCACUCUUUCUUAUUUGGGUAGCUAACCAGCUUGAGUUAUCCUCAAGUGGGACAAUGUCUGGUGGGUAGUUUGACUGGGGCGGUCGCCUCCCAAAUAAUAACGGAGGCUUACAAAGGUUGGCUCAGAACGGUUGGAAAUCGUUCGUAGAGUAUAAAGGUAUAAGCCAGCUUAACUGCAAGACAUACAAGUCAAGCAGAGACGAAAGUCGGUCUUAGUGAUCCGGUGGUUCUGUGUGGAAGGGCCAUCGCUCAAAGGAUAAAAGGUACCCCGGGGAUAACAGGCUGAUCUCCCCCAAGAGCUCACAUCGACGGGGAGGUUUGGCACCUCGAUGU
RNAcentral lists this ribosomal RNA (426 nucleotides) under Campylobacter jejuni. RNAcentral's name for it is "partial 23S ribosomal RNA". It matches the Rfam family "Bacterial large subunit ribosomal RNA", at positions 2107 to 2532 of the family's 2925-position model. Lineage: Bacteria; Pseudomonadati; Campylobacterota; Epsilonproteobacteria; Campylobacterales; Campylobacteraceae. The record is from RNAcentral.